Molecule: long non-coding RNA, 397 nt
Filed under: Nicotiana benthamiana
Lineage: Eukaryota; Viridiplantae; Streptophyta; Magnoliopsida; Solanales; Solanaceae
Description: long non-coding RNA (NBEN_LNC018288)
Source: RNAcentral
AACUAGCCCCAGAAGCUGAAGCACAUGUGACAACUGGAUUUGCCACUGGCCAAGCUGCACUCUUGUUCCUCCAAACAUUUGCCUGCCAAAACAUUUCCACAACACAAAUUUCAACAAAUCAUGAAAUCCCCACAAAACUUAGCAACUUUAGUCUCAGAAAAAAAUAAUUAAAUCUUUGAGCCAAACUCCCCAUACAUGAAAUCCCCACAACACUUAGCAACUUUAGUCCCAAAAAAAAUAAUUAAAUCUUUGAGCCAAACCCCCCAUAAAACCAAGAAUUCUCAAUUAGAAAGUUUCAAAACUUAAAUUCCAGAACCCCAAAACAGAAAAGAUCAAAACUUUACCAUUCAACCAAGAAAUGAACCAAAAAAAAAUCAAAAAGGAAAAGUUUCUUACC